Molecule: ribosomal RNA, 268 nt
Filed under: uncultured bacterium
Lineage: Bacteria
Description: partial 16S ribosomal RNA
Rfam family: Bacterial small subunit ribosomal RNA
Source: RNAcentral
CUAUAACAGAGAGAAGCGAAACCGAGAGGUCAAGCAAAACCCAAAAAAAGUAGUCACAGUUCGGAUUGAAGGCUGAAAUUCGCCUUCAUGAAGCCGGAAUUGCUAGUAAUGGCAGGUCAGAAUACUGCCGUGAAUACGUUCCCGGGCCUUGUACACACCGCCCGUCACACCAUGAGAGUUGGGAAUACCCGAAGCCCGUGAGCUAACCGAAAGGGAGCAGCGGUCGAAGGUAGAAUCAAUGAUUGGGGUGAAGUCGUAACAAGGUAAC